GUAUGGUCAUUGUCAUAUUCUCCGAUGCGCUCUUUCGAAGUGAUCAAGGCUGAUGGGAAGAGAAAACCUCUCACAGGGCAAAGCCAAGAACCCACAGGAGAAAGGACUGAGUGUGGAACAGGAGCCCAACCAAGGAGAAUUCUCAACUCCUGGAUUAGGAGGACCUGGCCAAAAAUUCCCAGGAGAACAUCAGAAUUGCUGCAGCCCAGCCAGUGCUGAGUGACUCUCGUUCCUUUUCUUUCCAAGUAGCAAUGUUUUUGUGAUUCUACACCUAUUCCACCACACCUGGGUACAUAUGGAAAACAACUUGUCUUUUUGAUUUUUUAGGUCCUUAUCAAAUCAAGAGGAGCCUCAGUGAGAUCUGGCAUGGAACAUGGAUUUCCAGCUCAAUACCAGCGUUGGAUAAGAUUUUUGGAGUGUCCUGGGGAUGCAGUUGUACACUGCACAAGAGUGCUCAGCCGAGAGGGUAGCUGGAGCCUAAAAUCCAGUACAAGCUCCAUGUACCAAGCCCUGGGCCAGGACACAGGACUCGAAAAGUAGAGAUGGGGAAACUGAGGACCAGAAGAAUGAAGAAACUUGCCCAAGGUCACAUAGAAUAAAGUUCACAUCAGGACUCACACCCAAGUCUAGCUGACUCCAAAGUUCAUUUUGGAACCACCCACAACAUGGACUUCCUGGAUCCCGGACUUUUGGAUGACUUGACUUCACCCCACAGCCUUUCAAGAGAGAAAAAGGUCUGCUUUCUAGAUCUGGGACCUGGGAAAGUGGGCAGCUUUGGGUUCCUGGUGGGCAGGGAAUAGGGCUGGGGUUCCCAGGGUCCUGACUCAAAACCCAAGGCUGGCCGUUUCAAUAAAAGAAAAAACCAGACCGGGUGCGGUGGCUCCCACCUGUAAUCCCAGCACUUUGGGAGGCCGAGGCGGGUGGAUCACUUGAGGUCAGGAGUUCGAGACCAGUCU
Long non-coding RNA from Rhinopithecus roxellana (golden snub-nosed monkey), 956 nucleotides. RefSeq lists it as uncharacterized. The transcript is spliced from 3 exons. The record is from RefSeq and is a predicted model, not a curated record. NCBI's taxonomy places the organism in Eukaryota, Metazoa, Chordata, Mammalia, Primates, Cercopithecidae.